This 439-nucleotide ribosomal RNA is filed under the name uncultured bacterium. Its description in RNAcentral is "partial 16S ribosomal RNA". It matches the Rfam family "Bacterial small subunit ribosomal RNA", at positions 339 to 795 of the family's 1533-position model. The record is from RNAcentral.
CUACGGGCUGCUCCAGUGAGGAAUAUUGCACAAUGGGGGGAACCCUGAUGCAGCAACGCCGCGUGGAGGAUGACGCAUUUCGGUAUGUAAACUCCUUUUAUAUGUCAAGAAAAUGACGGUAGCAUAUGAAUAAGCACCGGCUAACUCCGUGCCAGCAGCCGCGGUAAUACGGAGGGUGCAAGCGUUACUCGGAAUCACUGAGCGUAAAGGACGCGUAGGCGGGUUGGAAAGUCAGGUGUGAAAUCCUACAGCUUAACUGUAGAACUGCACUUGAAACUUCUAAUCUAGAGUAUGGGAGGGGGAGAUGGAAUUAGGGGUGUAGGGGUAAAAUCCGUAGAUAUCACUAGGAAUACCUAAAGCGAAGGCGAUCUCCUGGAACAUUACUGACGCUAAGGCGUGAAAGCGUGGGGAGCAAACAGGAUUAGAUACCCCUGUAGUC